Molecule: ribosomal RNA, 465 nt
Filed under: Vreelandella stevensii
Lineage: Bacteria; Pseudomonadati; Pseudomonadota; Gammaproteobacteria; Oceanospirillales; Halomonadaceae
Description: partial 16S ribosomal RNA
Rfam family: Bacterial small subunit ribosomal RNA
Source: RNAcentral
CCUACGGUGGGCAGCAGUGGGGAAUAUUGGACAAUGGGCGAAAGCCUGAUCCAGCCAUGCCGCGUGUGUGAAGAAGGCCUUCGGGUUGUAAAGCACUUUCAGUGGGGAAGAAAGCCUUGGGGCUAAUACCCUCGAGGAAGGACAUCACCCACAGAAGAAGCACCGGCUAACUCCGUGCCAGCAGCCGCGGUAAUACGGAGGGUGCGAGCGUUAAUCGGAAUUACUGGGCGUAAAGCGCGCGUAGGCGGUCUGAUAAGCCGGUUGUGAAAGCCCCGGGCGCAACCUGGGAACGGCAUCCGGAACUGUCAGGCUAGAGUGCAGGAGAGGAAGGUAGAAUUCCCGGUGUAGCGGUGAAAUGCGUAGAGAUCGGGAGGAAUACCAGUGGCGAAGGCGGCCUUCUGGACUGACACUGACGCUGAGGUGCGAAAGCGUGGGUAGCAAACAGGAUUAGAUACCCGAGUAGUC